CCUACGGGAGGCAGCAGUGAGGAAUAUUGGUCAAUGGACGAGAGUCUGAACCAGCCAAGUAGCGUGAAGGAAGAAUGCUCUAUGGGUUGUAAACUUCUUUUAUAAGGGAAUAAAAGGAUCCACGUGUGGCUAUUUGCAUGUACCCUAUGAAUAAGCAUCGGCUAACUCCGUGCCAGCAGCCGCGGUAAUACGGAGGAUGCGAGCGUUAUCCGGAUUUAUUGGGUUUAAAGGGUGCGUAGGUUGUUUUUUAAGUCAGCUGUGAAAGUUUGUGGCUCAACCGUAAAAUUGCCGUUGAAACUGGAAGACGUGAGUGUGUUUGAGGUAGGCGGAAUGCGUGGGGUAGCGGUGAAAUGCAUAGAUAUCACGCAGAACUCCGAUUGCGAAGGCAGCUUACUAAGCUAUAACUGACACUGAAGCACGAAAGUGUGGGGAUCAAACAGGAUUAGAUACCCGUGUAGUC
Molecule: ribosomal RNA, 460 nt
Filed under: uncultured bacterium
Lineage: Bacteria
Description: partial 16S ribosomal RNA
Rfam family: Bacterial small subunit ribosomal RNA
Source: RNAcentral